RNAcentral lists this ribosomal RNA (710 nucleotides) under uncultured bacterium. RNAcentral describes it as "bacterial SSU rRNA". It matches the Rfam family "Bacterial small subunit ribosomal RNA", at positions 39 to 740 of the family's 1533-position model. The record is from RNAcentral.
GGGCGAUGCUUUACACAUGCAAGUCGAACGGCAGCACGGAGAGCUUGCUCUCUGGUGGCGAGUGGCGAACGGGUGAGUAAUAUAUCGGAACGUGUCCAAUAAUGGGGGAUAACGAGUCGAAAGAUUCGCUAAUACCGCAUACGCCCUACGGGGGAAAGCAGGGGAUCGUAAGACCUUGCGUUAAUGGAGCGGCCGAUAUCUGAUUAGCUUGUUGGUGAGGUAAAGGCUCACCAAGGCGACGAUCAGUAGCUGGUUUGAGAGAACGACCAGCCACACUGGAACUGAGACACGGUCCAGACUCCUACGGGAGGCAGCAGUGGGGAAUUUUGGACAAUGGGGGCAACCCUGAUCCAGCCAUUCCGCGUGAGUGAAGAAGGCCUUCGGGUUGUAAAGCUCUUUCGCAAGGGAAGAAAACUUAUGAUCGAAUAAAUCAUGAGGUUGACGGUACCUUGAUAAGAAGCACCGGCUAACUACGUGCCAGCAGCCGCGGUAAUACGUAGGGUGCGAGCGUUAAUCGGAAUUACUGGGCGUAAAGCGUGCGCAGGCGGUUUUGUAAGUCGGAUGUGAAAUCCCCGGGCUCAACCUGGGAACUGCGUUCGAAACUGCAAGGCUAGAGUGUGUCAGAGGGGGGUAGAAUUCCACGUGUAGCAGUGAAAUGCGUAGAGAUGUGGAGGAAUACCAAUGGCGAAGGCAGCCCCCUGGGAUAACAC